ACGCUCGACACCUACGGGAAGCAGCAGUGAGGAAUAUUGGUCAAUGGGCGCAGGCCUGAACCAGCCAAGUAGCGUGAAGGAUGACUGCCCUAUGGGUUGUAAACUUCUUUUAUAUGGGAAUAAAGUUUUCCACGUGUGGAAUUUUGUAUGUACCAUAUGAAUAAAGAUCGGCUAACUCCGUGCCAACAGCCGCGGUAAUCUGAGCGGGCUGGCAAGGC
RNAcentral lists this ribosomal RNA (218 nucleotides) under uncultured bacterium. Its description in RNAcentral is "partial 16S ribosomal RNA". It matches the Rfam family "Bacterial small subunit ribosomal RNA", at positions 326 to 537 of the family's 1533-position model. The record is from RNAcentral.